RNAcentral lists this ribosomal RNA (623 nucleotides) under uncultured bacterium. RNAcentral describes it as "bacterial SSU rRNA". It matches the Rfam family "Bacterial small subunit ribosomal RNA", at positions 65 to 734 of the family's 1533-position model. The record is from RNAcentral.
AACGAAGUCUUCGGACUUAGUGGCGGACGGGUUAGUAACGCGUGGGAACGUGCCCUUUACUUCGGAAUAGUCCCGGGAAACUGGGUUUAAUACCGAAUACGCCCUUCGGGGGAAAGAUUUAUCGGUAAAGGAUCGGCCCGCGUUGGAUUAGGUAGUUGGUGGGGUAAUGGCCUACCAAGCCGACGAUCCAUAGCUGGUUUGAGAGGAUGAUCAGCAACACUGGGACUGAGACACGGCCCAGACUCCUACGGGAGGCAGCAGUGGGGAAUCUUAGACAAUGGGGGCAACCCUGAUCUAGCCAUGCCGCGUGAGUGAAGAAGGCCUUAGGGUCGUAAAGCUCUUUCGCCAGGGAUGAUAAUGACAGUACCUGGUAAAGAAACCCCGGCUAACUCCGUGCCAGCAGCCGCGGUAAUACGGAGGGGGUUAGCGUUGUUCGGAAUUACUGGGCGUAAAGCGCACGUAGGCGGACUUGAAAGUUGGGGGUGAAAUCCCGGGGCUCAACCUCGGAACUGCCUUCAAAACUCCAAGUCUAGAGUUCGAGAGAGGUGAGUGGAAUUCCGAGUGUAGAGGUGAAAUUCGUAGAUAUUCGGAGGAACACCAGUGGCGAAGGCGGCUCACUGGCU